AGGAGCCGUGUGAAAUGAAAAUCUCAUGCACGGUUUUGAAUGAGAGAAAAAAGAAUUUUUUUUUCGACUCUAAC
Molecule: non-coding RNA, 74 nt
Organism: Marchantia polymorpha subsp. polymorpha
Lineage: Eukaryota; Viridiplantae; Streptophyta; Marchantiopsida; Marchantiales; Marchantiaceae
Source: Rfam